Molecule: long non-coding RNA, 1447 nt
Organism: Aplysia californica (California sea hare)
Lineage: Eukaryota; Metazoa; Mollusca; Gastropoda; Aplysiida; Aplysiidae
Exons: 2
Source: RefSeq, a predicted model, not a curated record
CAGAGCAGAGGUCGAAAGGGGGAAAACUAAGGAUAUAAAGAGCAAAAAAAAAGCAAAAAGAAAUGAGUCCUAGAACUGGAAAGAGCGAGGUUUAAAAGAACUGCGGACACCAUUACUCGCGCUUUGUACUCGGAGCCUGAUGCUGAGAAUCUUGUCACCCAAACCAAGUUUGUAAGCUUGCAUUUUUCAUCGUGAAUACCACACCACAUGCGCUCCCGGAGUGUGGAUGCGAGAGGGACCGUUGUGCCCGAGCAGAACUCACGCGGUCGGAUGUUGUGAAAAGUGGUAUCGGAACAGCGGGCAAGCGUGCGAUCGCGUGCGUGAGUGAGUGUGAGUGUGAGUGUGAGUGGGGCCGUGGUCGCACAUCACUACGAUGCCGAUGUUAUUUUUUUUACUUGUGUGUGUGUGCGCGUGUGUUUGCUCCUUCUUCAACUUAGGCGAUGAUCGAAGCGCGUGUUCGAUGUGUUUCUGUGCUGCUGAGCGCAAAUACGCAAAGAACUUUACAUUGUUAGUGGUGUGUGUCGGUCGAGUGUUAAUGUGAGACUUGAUCUCUGCUGUUUCUCACACACGUGCGUGAGCGUGCGUGCGUGUGUGCGUGCGGACGUUUGUUUCUUGUAGGUGCGUGUGAGUUCUGAGCAUAACUCUACAGAGUUGGAGACAGGGAUAGCGAGAGUUGUUGUACUCGCAGGGUCAAAGGAUUUGAUUUUCUUGUGUGUCCUCAUAAUAUGUAGUCGAAUAUUCUCAAGAUGUAGAAGUAGGUUUAAACUUCAAAGUGUAUGUGGUGAAUGUCCCUAAAAAGGCCAGUGAAUCUCACCACAGGGACCAUGUGACACAACAGACUACCUACUUGUAGUACAGUUAGUAGUCUUUGACUUCUUUUGCGUACUGUUUUGGAAAAAACAAAUACGAGCCAGCAAGCCACUAUUUUCGUCGUAUUGUUUCGGAAACCAAAGACCAAACUGCAAGUCGUGCAUUGUGUAUGUGAGUUUGUGUGUGCCUGUGGCCGUAUAAAAGUCGAAUUACAAUUCUGUUCAGGAGAGGGAUAAAUGGUACAGCGUGAAGAAGAAAGAACAAAAACAAGAAAACUUUCAACUUUUCUGGGACUCAGGCUUUUCGCCUGGAGACCCAAUUCUGUGAGAAGCGAACAAUGUUCAGUAAGAAACUGUCAACUGCAGACUACUCCGGAGGAAACUUUCUGACACUCUGCUGUGGUUUUUUCGGAACUAAAGGGAGGCAACGCCGUAGUUCUGAUGACACUAACACAGAAUUGAAAGGAGACAAUCAUGCUGAGGAGGAAAAAGGAGAGAAAGAAGAGGAGGAGGACGGGAAGCCAGUAGUCAAUGGCGGACCGAAGACAACUUCCCCGACACCGGAAGUUGGUACAGAGGAUAUUGGGUACGCUCAAAUUGCUGACGGGGAGAAGGGCGCCGAGAAAAGCAAAACGAAA